GACGAACGCUGGCGGCGUGCUUAACACAUGCAAGUCGAACGGAAAGGCCCUGCUUUUGUGGGGUGCUCGAGUGGCGAACGGGUGAGUAACACGUGAGUAACCUGCCCUUGACUUUGGGAUAACUUCAGGAAACUGGGGCUAAUACCGGAUAGGAGCUCCUGCUGCAUGGUGGGGGUUGGAAAGUUUCGGCGGUUGGGGAUGGACUCGCGGCUUAUCAGCUUGUUGGUGGGGUAGUGGCUUACCAAGGCUUUGACGGGUAGCCGGCCUGAGAGGGUGACCGGCAACAUUGGGACUGGGAUCCGGCCAGGACUCCAAGGGGAGGAAGCAGUGGGGAAUAUUGAACAAUGGGCGGAGGCUGGAUGCAGCACCGCCGCGGGGGGAUGACGGCCUUCGGGUUGUAAACCGCUUUCGCCUGUGACGAAGCGUGAGUGACGGUAAUGGGUAAAGAAGCACCGGCUAACUACGUG
This 467-nucleotide ribosomal RNA is filed under the name uncultured bacterium. Its description in RNAcentral is "partial 16S ribosomal RNA". It matches the Rfam family "Bacterial small subunit ribosomal RNA", at positions 28 to 507 of the family's 1533-position model. The record is from RNAcentral.